GUAUUCCUACGGGGGGCAGCAGUGAGGAAUAUUGGUCAAUGGGCUUACGCCUGAACCAGCCAAGUCGCGUGAGGGAAGACUGCCCUAUGGGUUGUAAACCUCUUUUGUCAGGGAGCAAUUGGCGCUACGUGUAGCGUUAUCGAGAGUACCUGAAGAAAAAGCAUCGGCUAACUCCGUGCCAGCAGCCGCGGUAAUACGGAGGAUGCGAGCGUUAUCCGGAUUCAUUGGGUUUAAAGGGUGCGCAGGCGGGCCUUUAAGCCGGCGGUGAAAUCGCGGGG
Molecule: ribosomal RNA, 278 nt
Filed under: uncultured bacterium
Lineage: Bacteria
Description: partial 16S ribosomal RNA
Rfam family: Bacterial small subunit ribosomal RNA
Source: RNAcentral